Molecule: ribosomal RNA, 626 nt
Filed under: Coccus hesperidum
Lineage: Eukaryota; Metazoa; Arthropoda; Insecta; Hemiptera; Coccidae
Description: partial 28S ribosomal RNA
Rfam family: Eukaryotic large subunit ribosomal RNA
Source: RNAcentral
AGGGUGUCGGACGUCGCGACCCGUUCGCCAGAUCGAUGCUCAGGGGCGCGUCUCAAGUUCGUAUGCGCGGCCGUUUCGGCGGUCGCGCGGCGAUGACGCGUUUCCACUGUUUUCGACGCGGACGGUAGCUUUGCGCGCGGGUAAUCGAGGCGGUCCUUCGUCCGGCGUCUCGUACGUCGGACGGCGCUCGCCUCGACGCCGGUCAGCGACGAAUCUUCGGGCCUCUUUCCGACCCGUCUUGAAACACGGACCAAGGAGUCUAGCGUGCGCGCGAGUCGCGGGGUAUCCGAGGAGUAGUAGUCGUUUCGGCGGCGAACGCUCCUCGUCACGAUACGAAACCCGUGUACGUACGUUGUGCGAAGGCGUAAUGAAAGUGAAAGGCGGCGCUUCGCGCGUCGCCGGGGGAAGACGGUCGACCGUGUACACGUUUCGCGACCGCGUAUGUGUCGCGACCGGUCACCCGCAUUCCCAGGGCGUCCCGCUCGUACGUCGGCGGCCGGGGUUCGCUUCGACCGUCGACGAACUGGGGCGCACCUACAGCGUGCACGCUGGUACCCGAAAGAUGGUGAACUAUGCCUGGCCAGGAUGAAGUCAGGGGAAACCCUGAUGGAGGUCCGCAGCGAUUC